CUUUAAAUUAAUCUUCUUAAUUUCUGCCAGCUGUAAAUCCAGUUUUGCUAAAUAGCAUUAUUCUGACUUAAAUGGUCUAAUCUUUGUCGUAAACUGGGUACAGCUGAAAGUCGUGUAUGUGGGAGGCUUCCUCAUUAAUCACAGCUGACAAGAAGUCAGAAAUUAAGAAACAAAAUUGUCUCUGAAGGCAAAAUGGGGAAGGAUUGGGAAAAGCAGCCAACUUGGGGUGAUGGCUGAGUUGGGAGGGCAGGGGUGAGUCCCCGAUCCAAUUGCAUGGCCCUGGUUAAGUCUUUGUUCUCUUGGGGCUUCAGUUUCUACCUCUGGGGGAAAAAAUGCAGGUGGGGAUGAGACAGGGGCGUCAGAUCAGCUCAGUCCUCCUGGACCUUUUCAGCUGCGACGUUCUCUGAAUCUAUACAUGGGAAAUGUCACCAAAGUGACAUCUCGGUAUUUAAAUGCACAGCUGUUGUUGACUCUCAAGACUAUCUAGAGGACCAACAGUCUCACUACUUCACCACAGCAUUCUUCAAAAUGAGUCUCUGGAGAAGUAUUUAGACUCUCAGCAGUGAACCAGGCACUCUUCAGGCCCUGGGAAGACAGAAUUCACCAGCAUGAGAAAGUUUUUAUAACUUGUAAAUUCGUCUAGUCAAGGCUAUGGUUUUUCCUGUGGUCAUGUAUGGAUGUGAGAGUUGGACUGUGAAGAAGGCUGAGCACUGAAGAAUUGAUGCUUUUGAACUGUGGUGUUGGAGAAGACUCUUGAGAGU
Bubalus bubalis (water buffalo) is the source of this 761-nucleotide long non-coding RNA. RefSeq lists it as uncharacterized. Lineage: Eukaryota; Metazoa; Chordata; Mammalia; Artiodactyla; Bovidae. The transcript is spliced from 3 exons. The record is from RefSeq and is a predicted model, not a curated record.